Molecule: microRNA, 20 nt
Filed under: Spodoptera frugiperda (fall armyworm)
Lineage: Eukaryota; Metazoa; Arthropoda; Insecta; Lepidoptera; Noctuidae
Description: sfr-miR-10468-5p
Source: miRBase by way of RNAcentral
GCGACUUCCCGUCGAAACGU